This is a long non-coding RNA of Mangifera indica (mango), 735 nucleotides long. RefSeq lists it as uncharacterized. The record is from RefSeq and is a predicted model, not a curated record. NCBI's taxonomy places the organism in Eukaryota, Viridiplantae, Streptophyta, Magnoliopsida, Sapindales, Anacardiaceae. The transcript has 2 exons.
GGAAAAUUGGCCUUGGCAUUUUGACCAAUCAUUAGAAUGGCAGCUUGAUUAUAUGCGCUUGCUGCAGCUCCAGCAGUCCCAAAGGUGCCUAGCCAUACCCUUCUCUUCCUGGAAAAGCAUAAACUGUAUCGGUCAUUGUUAAUGUAAAGAAUACUGCCUGGUGUAUGACGAAGAUGAACCAAAGCUAGGCCAUUGUUACGGUCAAGGUAUACACAAGGAAGAAAAAGAGGAGAACAAAAUGGAUGACACAUGUUAGCAGAGAACAAGGGACAGAUGAUAGACAUCAAGCUAAAGGGAAGUCAACAGGCCAACUUAUGCACAGUAAAGAAGUUGCAACAACAACAUUAAUUCAUCAGAGUAUGGGAACCAUAAGCACCUGCAGGAAGGAUGAAGUGGCAGCAUUGGAUUGGCAAAGAAACUCUGUAAGAGAAAAGAAUGAAAGAGACUUGGCAGAAGAAAAGAGGAAUAUGGACCUGGAGGUGGAGAAGAGGGGAAAAAGAGAAAAAAAUUGGAAGAAGGGAGAAAGUAGGAGAGUGGCUAGCCUCUCGAAUAGCUGGUGUUAUUGUGUUCUAUGUUGAAUGUUUAAUUUGGUUGUGUUUAUGUGGGUGUUUAAGUUCUGCUUUCCAGUAGUUUAGUGUUAUCAGAUGCUUUUGUCAAUGUAAUGCUAGCAAAGCUUCAGUAAAUUGUUUGUAUCACAUUCAGUAAAAGGUUUAAUACAAGAAGCAGUUCCUUCUA